Molecule: ribosomal RNA, 565 nt
Filed under: uncultured ciliate
Lineage: Eukaryota; Ciliophora
Description: SSU rRNA
Rfam family: Eukaryotic small subunit ribosomal RNA
Source: RNAcentral
GAGCCUGAGAAAUGGCUACCACAUCUAAGGAAGGCAGCAGGCGCGUAAAUUACCCAAUCCUAAUUCAGGGAGGUAGUGACAAGAAAUAACAACUCGGACCUCACACGAGGUUACGAGAUUGCAAUGAGAACAAUUUAAACCUCUUAUCGAGUAACAAUUGGAGGGCAAGUCUGGUGCCAGCAGCCGCGGUAAUUCCAGCUCCAAUAGCGUAUAUUAAAGUUGUUGCAGUUAAAAAGCUCGUAGUUGAAAAUCUGGCCGGUGCUGUUCUCGGCUCCCUGAGUCGGCUCAGCGCCUGGUCAUCCGUACGGGAAACUAGCUCGACCUUCACUGGUCGGCUAGUGGAUCGUACACUUUACUUUGAAAAAAUUAGAGUGUUUCAGGCAGGCAAUUGCUUGGAUACUGUAGCAUGGAAUAAUGGAAUAGGACUUUGACCUAUUUGUUGGUUUCUCGAGGUCAAAGUAAUGAUUAAUAGGGACAGUUGGGGGCAUUCGUAUUUAAUUGUCAGAGGUGAAAUUCUUGGAUUUUUUAAAGACGAACUUAUGCGAAAGCAUUUGCCAAGGAUGUU